CUUGGCUAACUGCUAUAUGAGUAAGUUCUCAUUCAGUCUUACACUGGCCGUUGGAGGUGGUGGUGCAUUAUCUGCCUUUUACAGAUGAGGAAAGUAAUGCUCAAGAGGUUAAAUACCUUGCCAAGCGUCCCGGCUGGCCAGCCGAGGAAUCAGGAUUCAAGCGAAGGCGUCUGACUACAGCCUUUGCUCCAAAGCAGUAUGCUGCACUAAAACAAACAAACAAACAAACAAAAAACAAAGAAGAAGGGCAUUUCAGGACAAGAAAACAGCACCUUGAAAGGCCCAGAAGCCUGAAUGAACACAGAGCCUGCGAGUUAUAACUCAGGUGGCCUAAGUGGCAAGGAAAACAGGAACCAUUUCCUUCUGGAGAAAAGACCUGUCCAUCCUGUUCUCUUUUCCUUUGGGCGUCUCUUCUCUUCAACCUCCUGUCUCCCAUGUGACUAACUGGUAGGCGCAUUUGGGUUUAGCCUUAAGGAGAAGGAAGGGUCUAAUUGAGCCACUCCUGCCAGAGUUCCUGGCCUCAGAGUUUCACACACAAACCCAGGAACAACAAAAUGUUCCCGCAGCCAGACUGAAAUUUGACCUCACUCUAGC
RNAcentral lists this long non-coding RNA (594 nucleotides) under Equus asinus (donkey). RNAcentral describes it as "lncRNA (ENSEASG00005024661.1)". Lineage: Eukaryota; Metazoa; Chordata; Mammalia; Perissodactyla; Equidae. The record is from RNAcentral.